CCCCCCCCCCCCGACCAUGUCCACCUCCGCCGCCUCGUCGCCUUCCCCCGACCAACCUCCCGCGAACAAGGCGGUCCGCGUGGUGGUCAAGGGCCGGGUCCAGGGCGUGGGCUUCCGCGACUGGACGGCCGAGACGGCGGAGUCCCUCGGCCUCGCCGGCUGGGUCCGCAAUAACCGCCGCGACGGCACCGUGGAGGCCCUCCUCUCUGGAGACCCUGCCAAGGUCGACGAGAUGGUCACCCGCCGCCUCCCCAUCGGCCCUCCUGCUGCCGCCGUCACGGCCGUCGUCACUUCCCCAGCCGACCACAUCCACCCCUCCCUCGGCUUCGAAAUCAAGCUCACCGUCUGAUCGGGUUACGCCGACGUUCGACCGACCACAACCAGCAGGUUCUGCUCGACUUGUGCUCAACUGCCGGUGGUCGUGGCGAGGGACUUGAAGAUUGAAGCACUCUGGCAUUGUUCAGUGUUUACCGGAGGUAAAGUUCGCUAAUAAGACCAGUCGGGAG
RNA transcript from Hordeum vulgare subsp. vulgare (domesticated barley), 506 nucleotides. It is a transcript of the gene named acylphosphatase-like, with no coding region annotated. The record is from RefSeq and is a predicted model, not a curated record. The transcript has 2 exons. Lineage: Eukaryota; Viridiplantae; Streptophyta; Magnoliopsida; Poales; Poaceae.